This 497-nucleotide ribosomal RNA is filed under the name uncultured bacterium. RNAcentral's name for it is "partial 16S ribosomal RNA". It matches the Rfam family "Bacterial small subunit ribosomal RNA", at positions 28 to 507 of the family's 1533-position model. The record is from RNAcentral.
GAUGAACGCUGGCGGCGUGCCUAAUACAUGCAAGUCGAGCGAACAGACGAGGAGCUUGCUCCUCUGACGUUAGCGGCGGACGGGUGAGUAACACGUGGAUAACCUACCUAUAAGACUGGGAUAACUUCGGGAAACCGGAGCUAAUACCGGAUAAUAUAUUGAACCGCAUGGUUCAAUAGUGAAAGACGGUUUUGCUGUCACUUAUAGAUGGAUCCGCGCCGCAUUAGCUAGUUGGUAAGGUACCGGCUUACCAAGGCGACGAUGCGUAGCCGACCUGAGAGGGUGAUCGGCCACCCGUGAACUGAGACACGGGCCAGGAUCCUACGGGAGGCAGCAGUAGGGAAUCUUCCGCAAUGGGCGAAAGCCUGACGGAGCAACGCCGCGUGAGUGAUGAAGGUCUUCGGAUCGGAAAACUCUGUUAUUAGGGAAGAACAAAUGUGUAAGUAACUAUGCACGUCUUGACGGUACCUAAUCAGAAAGCCACGGCUAACUACGUG